Molecule: non-coding RNA, 52 nt
Filed under: Granulibacter bethesdensis
Lineage: Bacteria; Pseudomonadati; Pseudomonadota; Alphaproteobacteria; Acetobacterales; Acetobacteraceae
Description: Guanidine-II sequence
Rfam family: Guanidine-II riboswitch aptamer (mini-ykkC)
About the family: Simpler in structure and has fewer highly conserved nucleotide positions than the ykkC-yxkD leader. Despite this each of its two stem-loop structures directly bind free guanidine.
Source: RNAcentral
GCCGGGACGACCCGGCCAGAAGCAAAAGGCCCUGUUCGGCGGGACGACCUGC